GCGUUACCUACACUGCCUAACCUCUUGCUCCUCUAUCUCUGUGUUCUUUCAGAGUUACAUGCACAAGUGACCAAAGACAUCAGUGUCUCAGGAUCUUGUACCUGCAUUCAUCUGAACUGCAUAUUGUCAACCGGAAACCCUGAAAUGAUCAAGCCGGUGUCUAUUCCACAAGGUACCACCAGCUAAAUCUAUGAUGUUAAAAUGCCUAUUUACUCUACAAUCUGACUGUGGAAUCCACCGUCUCAUCAGCCCAUCAACCCUGUAACAUUAUUUUUUAAUUUAAAUGUUUAAUUUAACUUUAUUUAACUAGGCAAUGAUUGUUUUGUAAAUAAAUGAUAUUUUGGCAAACAUGUUGAAGGGGACUUUGAUUCAUGGUUCUAAUCACAUACACUGUACAUGAAAGUGUAACACCAGCCUGGUCACCCAUGAGACAAGUCAGUAUUCAAUGUUUUUCCA
Non-coding RNA from Oncorhynchus mykiss (rainbow trout), 456 nucleotides. The record is from RefSeq and is a predicted model, not a curated record. Lineage: Eukaryota; Metazoa; Chordata; Actinopteri; Salmoniformes; Salmonidae.